This 22-nucleotide microRNA is filed under the name Homo sapiens (human). RNAcentral's name for it is "hsa-miR-6866-3p". The record is from miRBase by way of RNAcentral. Lineage: Eukaryota; Metazoa; Chordata; Mammalia; Primates; Hominidae.
GAUCCCUUUAUCUGUCCUCUAG